UAAAAUAGAGUAGCUUAAAAUCUAAGCAAAAGCAGCAAAAGUAGUUCUGGAGUGUGGCACGGCCGUGCCAAGCCUAGCACGGGCCGUGCCAAGUUUCUGACUUGAGGGAGAUAUAUUUUUGUCUCCGAAUCUUCGUAUUUUCGUACCAAAUCAGCUCCAAAACCCCUUUCUUUUGCUCCAAGACUCAAUCCAUCAAAUAUUCGUUCCUGAAAUAUAACAAUAUGCAAUUGUAGUAAAAUAGUUCAAGAAAGGAAAUAAUAUUAAUAUAAAAUAAACUUAAA
Molecule: long non-coding RNA, 281 nt
Filed under: Medicago truncatula (barrel medic)
Lineage: Eukaryota; Viridiplantae; Streptophyta; Magnoliopsida; Fabales; Fabaceae
Description: long non-coding RNA (MTRU_LNC003774)
Source: RNAcentral